GAUGAAGAACGUAGCGAAAUGCGAUACGUAAUGUGAAUUGCAGAAUUCAGUGAAUCAUCAAGUCUUUGAACGCACAUUGCGCCCCCUGGUAUUCCGGGGGGCAUGCCUGUCCGAGCGUCAUUGCUGCCCUCAAGCACGGCUUGUGUGUUGGGCCCCGUCCUCCGAUCCCGGGGGACGGGCCCGAAAGGCAGCGGCGGCACCGCGUCCGGUCCUCGAGCGUAUGGGGCUUUGUCACCCGCUCUGUAGGCCCGGCCGGCGCUUGCCGAUCAACCCAAAUUUUUAUCCAGGUUGACCUCGGAUCAGGUAGGGAUACCCGCUGAACUUAAGCAUAUCAAUAAGCGGAGGA
RNAcentral lists this unclassified non-coding RNA (346 nucleotides) under soil metagenome. Its description in RNAcentral is "partial contains 5.8S ribosomal RNA, internal transcribed spacer 2, and large subunit ribosomal RNA". The stretch from base 1 to 120 matches the Rfam family "5.8S ribosomal RNA", at positions 35 to 154 of the family's 154-position model. The record is from RNAcentral.